AAAUUGAAGAGUUUGAUCAUGGCUCAGAUUGAACGCUGGCGGCAGGCCUAACACAUGCAAGUCGAACGGUAACAGGAAGCAGCUUGCUGCUUCGCUGACGAGUGGCGGACGGGUGAGUAAUGUCUGGGAAACUGCCUGAUGGAGGGGGAUAACUACUGGAAACGGUGGCUAAUACCGCAUAACGUCGCAAGACCAAAGAGGGGGACCUUCGGGCCUCUUGCCAUCAGAUGUGCCCAGAUGGGAUUAGCUAGUUGGUGAGGUAACGGCUCACCAAGGCGACGAUCCCUAGCUGGUCUGAGAGGAUGACCAGCCACACUGGAACUGAGACACGGUCCAGACUCCUACGGGAGGCAGCAGUGGGGAAUAUUGCACAAUGGGCGCAAGCCUGAUGCAGCCAUGCCGCGUGUAUGAAGAAGGCCUUCGGGUUGUAAAGUACUUUCAGCGGGGAGGAAG
Molecule: ribosomal RNA, 453 nt
Filed under: Salmonella enterica
Lineage: Bacteria; Pseudomonadati; Pseudomonadota; Gammaproteobacteria; Enterobacterales; Enterobacteriaceae
Description: bacterial SSU rRNA
Rfam family: Bacterial small subunit ribosomal RNA
Source: RNAcentral